UAAAAGAAGAAGUUUAAUUAAGUCAGUUUUAUUAUCACGUUUAAGUUAGUGGGAUUAAGGGUCAGUUUAUUUAUCCCAUUUAAGUUAGUGGAGUUAGGUAGUUUAUAAGUUUUAAAAGAACAGACAACAACUUACGUUAGUUCAUUCAUCAUAUUCAAACAACAGACAGUCAGAAAAGCUUAAUAUCAGGGAAGAAGAAAGACAGAGGAGAGGGAAAGAGAUUGCUGAUUAAGGCUACUAAGAGGAUUUUCGGAUUUGCUACUUGAAAGUAAAAUUUACGAGAUCAAGUUGUGAUUUGGUCAACCACGCUGGAACUUUGGGGAGUGAUGUUUAAUUUAGUAGCACUUAAAUUAUUUAGGAUUUAUUUAAAUAUUAUGAACAUCGUACUAUCUUAAUUAGUAUUCAGACUUUUAUCUUGA
This 419-nucleotide small RNA is filed under the name Theobroma cacao (cacao). Its description in RNAcentral is "sRNA Tc07v2_g001720". The record is from RNAcentral. Lineage: Eukaryota; Viridiplantae; Streptophyta; Magnoliopsida; Malvales; Malvaceae.